GCCCCUGUGGCGGAAUCGGUAGACGCGGCAGACUCAAAAUCUGUUUCCCGUAAGGGAGUGGGAGUUCGAGUCUCCCCGGGGGCACCA
Molecule: transfer RNA, 87 nt
Filed under: Alphaproteobacteria bacterium
Lineage: Bacteria; Pseudomonadati; Pseudomonadota; Alphaproteobacteria
Also listed under: 3 other names
Description: tRNA-Leu
Rfam family: tRNA
About the family: Transfer RNA (tRNA) molecules are approximately 80 nucleotides in length. Their secondary structure includes four short double-helical elements and three loops (D, anti-codon, and T loops).
Source: RNAcentral